AUUGAACGCUGGCGGCAGGCCUAACACAUGCAAGUCGAACGGAUGAACGGUGCUUGCUUGCGCUUCCAGGUGGGGAGGGGCGGGCAUGUCAUGGAAAUAUCCUGGUCUUCUGUUUCUAAGGGCCUAAAGCAGGGCCACUUACGCCAUUCGCCCAUACGAAGAACGGGGGGAAUCUGCGGACCUUCGGCUCUUGUGGGACCCUAGGUCGGAUUAGCUAGUUGGUGGGUUAACGGCCUACCAAGGCGACGAUCCGAAACUGGUCUGAGAGGAUGAUCAGCCACACUGGAACUGAGACACGGUCCAGACUCCUACGGGAGGCAGCAGUGGGGAAUAUUGGACAAUGGGCGAAAGCCUGAUCCAGCCAUGCCGCGUGUGUGAAGAAGGUCUUCGGAUUGUAAAGCACUUUAAGUUGGGAGGAAGGGCAGUAAGUUAAUACCUUGCUGUUUUGACGUUACCAAAAGAAUAAGCACCGGCUAACUUCGUG
This 484-nucleotide ribosomal RNA is filed under the name uncultured bacterium. Its description in RNAcentral is "partial 16S ribosomal RNA". It matches the Rfam family "Bacterial small subunit ribosomal RNA", at positions 30 to 507 of the family's 1533-position model. The record is from RNAcentral.